Molecule: ribosomal RNA, 392 nt
Filed under: uncultured bacterium
Lineage: Bacteria
Description: partial 16S ribosomal RNA
Rfam family: Bacterial small subunit ribosomal RNA
Source: RNAcentral
AUACGGAGGAUCCGAGCGUUAUCCGGAUUUAUUGGGUUUAAAGGGUGCGCAGGCGGCCAUUUAAGUCAGCGGUUAAAUCGUGGGGCUCAACCCCAUUCUACCGUUGAUACUGGGUGGCUUGAUUGCGGUCGAGGUUGGCGGAAUUCGUUGUGUAGCGGUGAAAUGCAUAGAUAUGACGAAGAACACCGAUUGCGUAGGCAGCUGACCAGACCGCAAAUGACGCUCAUGCACGAAAGUGCGGGGAUCGAACAGGAUUAGAUACCCUGGUAGUCCGCACAGUAAACGAUGAAUACUUGUUUUCGGCGAUAUAAUGUCGGAGGCAAAGCGAAAGCGAUAAGUAUUCCACCUGGGGAGUACGCCGGCAACGGUGAAACUCAAAUGAAUUGACGGGG